This 462-nucleotide ribosomal RNA is filed under the name uncultured bacterium. RNAcentral describes it as "bacterial SSU rRNA". It matches the Rfam family "Bacterial small subunit ribosomal RNA", at positions 29 to 484 of the family's 1533-position model. The record is from RNAcentral.
AACGAACGCUGGCGGCGCGCCUAAUACAUGCAAGUCGAACGAGAAGCUGUAGCAAUACAGUUGUACAGUGGCGAACGGGUGAGGAAUACAUGGGUGACCUACCCUCGAGUGGGGAAUAACCAGCCGAAAGGUUGGCUAAUACCGCGUACGCUUCCCAGUCUACGGGUUGGGAAGGAAAGCGAUGCCGUGGGUAUCGCGCUCAAGGUUGGGCUCAUGUCCUAUCAGCUUGNGGUGGGGUAACGGCUCACCAAGGCAACGACGGGUAGCUGGUCUGAGAGGACGAUCAGCCACACUGGCACUGCGACACGGGCCAGACUCCUACGGGAGGCAGCAGUAAGGAAUAUUGCGCAAUGGGCGAAAGCCUGACGCAGCGACGCCGCGUGGGGGAUGAAGGUCUUCGGAUUGUAAACCCCUUUCGGGAGGGAAGAGUGGAACGAGCAAUCGUUCGGACGGUACCUCCAG